AUGCUAACGGCUAACGCAACACAAACAGGAGCGGCAGCACGUCAACAGGACAAAAGCUCGAUCCACCGCUUCCUGCCUGUCGCCGAUCGAAGGCCCAUCGCUAUUAGCUGUUCCCCACACAGUUCCAGACCGGACCGCCAGUCACAAAGCAGAAAUCAGCAGCCGCUGAGAAUCCAGUCAGAUGAUCCUCGCUUCAGGGAAAAGGUCCGAGCCCUACACAAAAUCACUGUUGCAUUCCACCAUCUCCGGAACUGGUCCGGAGCCCGGGCACCAUCCCAGGUAAGCAAGAUGACGGAGACUCUUGCUACCUUUAUAAAACCAGCUUCUCCCACACACACAACACUCCUCCUAAUUGAGGGUAAUGCAAAAAAUUGGGAAUAUAAUAAUAUCACCAUAAUGAAGCAACAUUAUGAGGAUGUGAUGCAACAGCAUCUCCUUGAGAUGGCUGAUGCCCAACAUCAGGACUGGAGGGGUCCCUUUGAGGUGGCGUCAGGCUGGGCCCGUCGCAAUUUGGGUCGGCGCCUCCUUCCCAAGACCCUGCAGGAGGCUGAGACUUUUUUGACAGACAACCUGGACGCACGAGGUGCACUGGACCCACCUGGGAGCCCCUCCCGAGCCCAAUCAGAUGACUCCUCCCUAUCAGCAUCACCUCAGGCAAUCCCCUCAGCAUCCCCCGUCUCCCACACAUCAUCACAAUCUCCUGCGGCCACACGCAGCACUGCAGCCCAAAUACAUUCACCUGCUGCAGCUAGCAUCACAUCUCUUGCCCCACCUCGAACAGUCACCACUGCCUCCAUGGGCACUAUGACUCACCUGAGGGGCGGGGAUUGGUCCCCCCUCCCCUCCCAACAAUCAGAAGGAGAGGAGAGUAUGGCUGAGGAAGAGGAGUACAACAAUGAUGUUAAUGAUGAACAUUAUCAUUAUGUUAAGGAUGAGGGAGAGGAUGUUGAUGAUGACGACGAUGACAACGCCCAUCCUCAUCUGCUCUCACACUCUACCCCAGUGUCUCCCACUCCUCCCAUGGUCGCAAACACGCCACCAUCUCCUAAAUCACAGAGAGAACCCAGGACUGGCUCCAGGUCCAAAUUCAGCACUCGCCAGUCUGAGGAGGAAGAUCUGCUCCCAAACACCCGAUUCGCGGAGGAUGAGACAUCCACAGUGGAGCCUUGCGCCCUGAGAUCGACACAGAGUUUCCCCAACGUCAGACUCCGGCCCCUCAGCUCCCACAUCACACCAAUACCCCCGCCAUCUUCAGUUGCAUUAAACUCACCUGCUGAUGAAGAGGAUGAAACAAUCAUCCGGCAGGGGACUGUCUCCUCUUCCUCCGGUUCUCCUUCUCCUUCCUCUCCUCCUCCUGCUGCUGCUGCGGCUGAACUCCAUCUUGCCUCUCCAGGCCCCCUCUCCCUGACCAAAAUGGGGCCUCUCUUUCUCCUCUCUCCUCCUGCAGCAGCCAGAUCUCCCCAUAGGAUGAGCCGCAGGCAACUUACCCUCAUGGAGAUCUUUGUCACCCCCUCUACUCCUCCUGGUACUGAAAUUUUCAAGCCCACUCGCCACCCCAACACCAGCAGGAAACUGAGGGACUGGAGCAUCUGCCUACAAAAAAAGAUGGUCAUUAUGGGGGAUUCCAACGUUGGCAUAUUUCCUCCCUUCACCGGAGAGGACCUGCAGGUCGACAGUUUUCCUGGGGCCACCUUCUACCAUGCAGAAUCCAUCCUGCAGAAAGCCACCUCUUCCACCCAGACACAGUCCAUCAUCCUGUCCUUCGGCAUCAACAGCAGGAACCAAAAAUCUCACUCUACUACCAUCAAACAACUCCAAGGUGCCUACAGAGUAGCCAAGAAGAGGUUCCCUCAGACUGCUGUUUACAUUCCAGAACUAAACUUCUCCCCAGCCCUCCCUCAGGUGGAGCAACACAACUUGUAUCUACUCAAUGAUUAUAUCAGAGAGAACUGUGAGUAUCUCACCUGCAUCCCCAGUGAGCUCUUUGAGGUCGAGGCAGACCUCAUCCACUGGUCUCCCACCACAGCGGGCCGUAUCCUUUCCCACUGGUUGCAGGGAAAUUAAACACUAUUAUAGAUAUUUACAUGACAUAUGGGGUAUUUGGACACAUUCAGAACAGGAUUUUGAGACAUUUUACAGACACUAAAUAAUCAUAACCCCUCCAUUAAGUCAAAAGCAACUACAGACACUCAUUCGGUUAAUUUCCUGAACACGACCACUUUCAAGGGCCCUAAAUUCACACAACAUGGAAAUUUGGACAUCAAAGUUUAUUUGAAGGAAACAGACGCUCACACACUCUGCCACAAGACAGCCAUCGCCUAAAGCACACAUUUAGAGGAUUGGUCAAGUCACAAUUACUUAGAUUGCAUAGGAUUUGCACACAAUAGGGAGAUUUCAUACGUGCCACCAAAAUCCUCUUUGGCGCUUUGG
Betta splendens (Siamese fighting fish) is the source of this 2430-nucleotide long non-coding RNA. The record is from Ensembl. NCBI's taxonomy places the organism in Eukaryota, Metazoa, Chordata, Actinopteri, Anabantiformes, Osphronemidae.